UAUCACAUGGAGGAGUGAGCUGGGAGCCCUAAACCCUCCUGUGCAGCAGCUGUGAGGUGGGGAGACAUUAAACAGCUGAGAUCACUGAGAAGGGAUGAGGAUCUUGGGUGCUGGGGUCAGACACUGGCCCUGCAAGAACGCAGAGAACUCAGAUCACAGCUUGAUUUUGGGUCCUGAAUAAAACCACAGCAAGAAGAGAUGGUCCAAGUUCACCAAGAGCUCCCAGCCUUCCACAUCUCUGCCUCCCAAGGGAAUGGAGCUUUAACUGGUCAAUAACUAAAACACCAUAAACCCGAAUAAAUCAACUCAGGACUAGAUAUACACACAUUAUAAAUGUUUAGUUCUGAUGAUAUAUGACUGAGCUGUUAUUUUGACAAAUAGCUAGUGAAUAAUAUAUCUGAUGAACUGCAUAAUAUUUUACUAAUGAUUAAUUUAUUCAUUCCAAACAAACAAACAAAGCCCAGCCUUUUUUUUCCUCCACUAUCCUAAAGAACUCUAAUGGUUGCAAAGAGCUUUGAGAUCCCUGGAAGAGCUGUGUCUAUUAUUCCUCCUUUUAUCAUUGUGUAUUUCUAGUGAUUUAUUACCAGGGAGAAUAAAUUCAUGGUUUAUGUUA
Long non-coding RNA from Parus major (Great Tit), 613 nucleotides. RefSeq lists it as uncharacterized. The record is from RefSeq and is a predicted model, not a curated record. The transcript has 2 exons. NCBI's taxonomy places the organism in Eukaryota, Metazoa, Chordata, Aves, Passeriformes, Paridae.